UAAGCACCGGCUAACUCCGUGCCAGCAGCCGCGGUAAUACGGAGGGUGCAAGCGUUAUCCGGAUUCACUGGGUUUAAAGGGAGCGUAGGUGGGUUGGNAAGUCAGUGGUGAAAUCNCCAAGCUUAACUUGGNAACUGCCAUUGAUACUAUNNNUCUUGAAUANNGUGGAGGUUAGCGGAAUAUGUCAUGUAGCGGUGAAAUGCUUAGAUAUGACAUAGAACACCNAUUGCGAAGGCAGCUGGCUACACNAUUAUUGACACUGAGGCUCGAAAGCGUGGGGAUCAAACAGGAUUAGAUACCCUGGUAGUCCACGCCCUAAACUAUGGAUACUCGACAUNUGCGAUACACAGUNNGUGUCUGAGCGAAAGCAUUAAGUAUCCCACCUGGGAAGUACGAUCGCAAGAUUGAAACUCAAA
This 416-nucleotide ribosomal RNA is filed under the name uncultured bacterium. RNAcentral's name for it is "partial 16S ribosomal RNA". It matches the Rfam family "Bacterial small subunit ribosomal RNA", at positions 487 to 905 of the family's 1533-position model. The record is from RNAcentral.